GUGAAAUUGUUGUAAACGGGAAACGCUUGAAGUCAGGUCGUGCCGGCGCUGGAUUCAGUCUCGCUUCUCGGAGCCGGGGGCGUAGUUUCCACGCAUGGCAGGUCAGCGUCAGGUUUCGCGCGUCGUGUAAAGGGCUCGGGUAAGGUGACUCUCUUCCGGGGAGUGGUUAUAGACCUGAGCAGAUGCGGCGCGCGGGGACUGAGGAUUGCAGCGGACACCCUUCGGGGGCGCGGCGACCGAGCCCUGCGCGAUCAACCCGUUGGCGAUAGCGUGCUACCGUCAGUGGGAGCGGUUGUGUCACUGGCCAGGCAAGCCGGCGGUUCGCUUAGGACGCUGACGUAAUGGCUUUAAACGAC
Molecule: ribosomal RNA, 356 nt
Filed under: uncultured Paraglomeraceae
Lineage: Eukaryota; Fungi; Glomeromycota; Glomeromycetes; Paraglomerales
Description: eukaryotic LSU rRNA
Source: RNAcentral